GACGAACGCUGGCGGCGUGCCUAAUACAUGCAAGUCGAGCGGACGGAUGGGAGCUUGCUCCCAGACCGUCAGCGGCGGACGGGUGAGUAACACGUGGGCAACCUGCCUGUAAGACUGGGAUAACUCCGGGAAACCGGGGCUAAUACCGGAUAACUCUUUCCCUCACAUGAGGGAAAGCUGAAAGAUGGCAUCUCGCUAUCACUUACAGAUGGGCCCGCGGCGCAUUAGCUAGUUGGUGCGGUAACGGCUCACCAAGGCGACGAUGCGUAGCCGACCUGAGAGGGUGAUCGGCCACACUGGGACUGAGACACGGCCCAGACUCCUACGGGAGGCAGCAGUAGGGAAUCUUCCGCAAUGGACGAAAGUCUGACGGAGCAACGCCGCGUGAGUGAUGAAGGUUUUCGGAUCGUAAAACUCUGUUGUCAGGGAAGAACAAGUACCGGAGUAACUGCCGGUACCUUGACGGUACCUGAACAGAAAGCCACGGCUAACUACGUG
RNAcentral lists this ribosomal RNA (498 nucleotides) under uncultured bacterium. RNAcentral's name for it is "partial 16S ribosomal RNA". It matches the Rfam family "Bacterial small subunit ribosomal RNA", at positions 28 to 507 of the family's 1533-position model. The record is from RNAcentral.